Molecule: ribosomal RNA, 796 nt
Filed under: Thyronectria boothii
Lineage: Eukaryota; Fungi; Ascomycota; Sordariomycetes; Hypocreales; Nectriaceae
Description: eukaryotic LSU rRNA
Rfam family: Eukaryotic large subunit ribosomal RNA
Source: RNAcentral
CGGCAACAGCUCAAAUUUGAAAUCUGGCCCUCGUGGUCCGAGUUGUAAUUUGUAGAGGAUGCUUUUGGUGCGGUACCUUCCGAGUUCCCUGGAACGGGACGCCAUAGAGGGUGAGAGCCCCGUCUGGUCGGAUACCAACCCUCUGUAAAGCUCCUUCGACGAGUCGAGUAGUUUGGGAAUGCUGCUCUAAAUGGGAGGUAUAUGUCUUCUAAAGCUAAAUACUGGCCAGAGACCGAUAGCGCACAAGUAGAGUGAUCGAAAGAUGAAAAGCACUUUGAAAAGAGGGUUAAAUAGUACGUGAAAUUGUUGAAAGGGAAGCGUUUGUGACCAGACUUGGGCUUGGUUAAUCAUCCGGCGUUCUCGCCGGUGCACUUUGCCAGCCCAGGCCAGCAUCAGUUUGCCGCGGGGGAUAAAGGCUUCGGGAACGUAGCUCUUCGGAGUGUUAUAGCCCGUUGCGUAAUACCCUGUGGCGGACUGAGGUUCGCGCAUCUGCAAGGAUGCUGGCGUAAUGGUCAUCAACGACCCGUCUUGAAACACGGACCAAGGAGUCGUCCUCGUAUGCGAGUGUUCGGGUGUCAAACCCCUACGCGUAAUGAAAGUGAACGGAGGUGGGAGCCUCGGCGCACCAUCGACCGAUCCUGAUGUUUUCGGAUGGAUUUGAGUAAGAGCAUACGGGGCCGGACCCGAAAGAAGGUGAACCUAUGCCUGUAUAGGGUGAAGCCAGAGGAAACUCUGGUGGAGGCUCGCAGCGGUUCUGACGUGCAAAUCGAUCGUCAAAUAUGGGCAUGGGGGCGAA